GCCUGGCUGGCUCAGUCGGAAGAGCAUGUGACUCAUGACCUUGGGGUCAUGGGUUCAAGCCCCAUGCUGGGUG
Molecule: non-coding RNA, 73 nt
Organism: Prionailurus viverrinus (fishing cat)
Lineage: Eukaryota; Metazoa; Chordata; Mammalia; Carnivora; Felidae
Source: the annotation of a RefSeq genome assembly